Molecule: RNA transcript, 3354 nt
Organism: Brassica rapa (field mustard)
Lineage: Eukaryota; Viridiplantae; Streptophyta; Magnoliopsida; Brassicales; Brassicaceae
Gene name: probable helicase CHR10
Source: RefSeq, a predicted model, not a curated record
CUACCCCAUCAAUCAACUCUAAACCCUAAGUCUAGAUUAGUUAACCCUAAGAAUAUAAUUGUCUUUUACCCUUCAUUAAAAAUGAGGAAAAAAAUGAUUAUUGUAAACAUGAAAAGUGGUACUAUGAAUGUGCUAUUUGUGGCAAUUUCCCUUAUUAGAAUUCUAAACUCUACAUUCCAAAAACACUACUCCACCCCCAACUCUAAACCCUAAAUUUAGAUUAUUAAUUAUAUGAUUAUAAAUGUUUUUUUUUCUUUAAAAUUGAGAGUAAAAGUGGUUAAAGCAAACACAAAAAGGGGUAUUAUGAAUGUGAUAUUUUUAGCAAUUUUUCAUGAAAUUACAAAAAAUUUAACAAUUUAGGAUUUUAGUGUUUUUUGUAGUUAAUCAAAUUACGCUGGUACGUGACAUCAUCAUCUAGUAUAAAUAGUAAAAAAUAUCAAUAGCAAGAUGAAUUGACGAGAUAAUGGCUCUGGAUGAGAAAAGCGGCAAACAAAAUAAGAUUGUAUCAACCGGGUCUAUUGGUAUAAGUGUGGAUCAAGUGGAUUUAGCGGUCAAAUAAAUAUGUUUGAAUGAAAAAAAUGAAACAAAAAGGAUCCAAAAUACUAUAUAAAUUUAAAAAUAAUAUAUAUAUAUAUAUAUCUUAUAUAUAUAUAUAUUCAAUAUCAUUAAAUAUUUUUCAUAAAUAAUAGUAGCUUUUGUAGAAAAUAUUUUAUAAAUGCAACAAAUAUAAAAUUUUAUUUAAAAUAUUUGGGUACCUUUCAAAUUUUGUUUAGAUCUAUUCGAGUUUCUGUAUUUGGAGCUAAAUAAUUAAAUUUUAUACGAGUAUUUAUAAUUUUUUUUAUAGGUUUGGUUCAGUUCAUAUACCAUUUAAAUUAUGUAAGGGUUUUAAAAAUUCAAAUAUACCUUAAAAUCACCGUCGACAAAAAAAAAACCUUAAAAUAUUCAAAAAUCUAGAUCAAUGACAUGAUUUGGUAUGAGUUCCGUUCAGAUCACAUGACAUGAAAUGCAUGAAUCAGGUUAGACGUGAUGAUAAGAAUUUCAUGACUUGACCUGGUCUUCUAAACACUUUCUAUCUAUUUGGCUCUAUAUUCUAGAAACUUUAUCUCAUUGAUUUGUUUAGUGUUUUUUUUUCUUUGGACAAAGUUUAACAUCAUUUUUUUGCUGACUCUUAUUAAUAUACAAAAGUAAAGGAAAUUGCCACAAAUAUCAUAUUUAUAAUCCUAGUUUUUAUGUUUACACUAAUCGCUUUUACUUUCAUUUUUCGAAAGAGAAAUUUAGGAUUCUAAUAAAUGUAUAAAUAGAUACUUCAAAAAAAUAAAAAUAGUUUCAAACAUACUUUUCAAAAAAAAAGUGAAAAAAAUUUAGAAAAAUUUCGAAUUUGAAAAAAUAUAAUUUGAAAACACAAAAAUUAUUAUUUUUUAUUUAUUAAAUAAUUAUAUAUAUAUAUAUAUAUAGAACAAAAGUAUAUGAGUCUUUUGCCACUUAAUGAAAAAUGUAUUUUGAAAAUAUCCCUUUAUUGGUGGUAAAGAUGAAUAAUUAUAUCAUAAAAGUGGUAAACAUGAAAUUUCCCCAAAAUUAAAAGAUUCUUAUUAAAAAAAAGAAUUCUUCAUCAUACAGUGUUCAUGUAAUUAUUUUCCCAUAAUAAUAACAUUCUUCUAGAAUAAUAUCAACUAAAAUUUUAAUCUGCGCUGAGCGCCUAAGUUUUUUUUAUUUUUAUUUUAAAUAUGAUUAACCAAUUUAUAAAUCUUAAUUAAAAAUAUUAACUUUAAGAUAAUUCAAUCAUGACAAUUAUAAACAUUUUUCUUUAAAUCUCUAUAUAUAAAGGAGUGUUAUAUUCACUCCUGAAGUUGCCACAUAGGAUUCCAAGUCACAAAAUCGAAGUUUCUGGAAGCGACACAUGUCUCGUUCUGCAAAGUGCAGCGUUUCAUUUAAAUUCUUCUGUCAUGGGCUUCUUUUGCGUUUGUGUGGUUGGGAUCUGAAACUGGAAGGUGUAUCCGGCCCGGUUAGAUUGAUUCCACGCUCCAAACCUAAUUUUUUGAUCGAAUAAACGAAGAUCGUCUCUCUUCUUCGUGUUACGGCGACGAGUUGACGUUUGCACUUCUCCCUACGAUAUGAAACGGUCCGAGUUAUGGCUUCGUGUUUACUCCCAAUGAUUGAAUCCCCCACUAUGUCGUCUUCAAUGCUUUGUUUCGAUCUGUAAGGCGGUGUCUCUAAUCCUAUAAAAGGUAAACCUUACUUUCCGUAGAACAUCAUCAUCUUUACUCUUGAUUUCACAUACAUUUGUUGCUUUUGUUUUUGUUUGUAUUUGUUCGUGUUUUGCAGUCGCCAUUUCCUUCUUCGCCUUCGCCGUCAAUCAUCGUCACUCCUCUAACCGAUGAGCAGUAAGGGUUUCUUCAAUUGGUUCAAAGUAUAUGGCUGCUUCAGUUUCAACCAGACUUAUUUGCACUGUUUGAUCCUUUUCAGCUUUACGACGCAUCAUCACUAAUGCAUCUGAAAAUUGUUUAAGCUCUCCUCCAUGUCAUCAAAAGUUUGGUUUUUAGAUCAUGAAGAUCUCUUCAUGUCACUUCCAUUGCAUACAACUAAGAUCAACUUUCAUCCCGAUUGCAGAGAGUUUGGAAUCACAGUGACUCUAAAGCCUCACCAAGUUGAAGGAGUCUCUUCGCUUAUAUACAAAUAUCUACUCAGCGUCAAUGUCCUUCUCGGAUACGUGGUACCACCACUUUUUUUCCGAAACGCUAUCUUUGUGAUUGUAUCCAUGUUGAGUCUAAUCUACAGAUUGAGCAGAUGGGGUUGGGGAAAACUCUACAAGCUAUUUAUUUUUUGAGUUAUCUAAAGUUUCAUCAAGGAUUGCGAAGGCCAUUUUUUGUGCUUUGUCCUUUGAGCGUAACGGAUGGUUGGGUUGAAGAGACAAAAGGUUCACUCCAGAACAUGAAGUUCUUAGGUAUGUUGGUGAUAAAGAUUGCCAUAGGAAUUUUCAUUCGGUGGCAGUAUGCUGUAAUUGAUGAAGCUCAAAUACUCAAGAAUCCCAACAGUGUUGUCUCAUUAGGAAUAUUCAUCGAGUUUUGAACUGAAUGAUAUCAAAAUCUGUCCAUUACAAACUUGCUUUAGUCAUUUAAUAGCUGGGCUAGCAUUCUAUUUUUUGCAAGCUGGUCUAUUGGUUGACUUCGAAAUGAAGUAUCGUUCUAAAUUAUUUUUUCGCUAAAUCAGUGUUGGUUCGUGAGACGUCUAACUAAUAACUAUCUUAUAGCAUAUAUUUUUCCUUAGAAUAAAUUCAACAUAGUUUAUAUCAUCUGUAAAACUUUUAAUAUAUGUAAAUAAAUUAGAAAUAUGAAAAUCUAGUAGUUAUAUUUAAUA